GAUGAACGCUGGCGGCGUGCCUAAUACAUGCAAGUCGAGCGAACGGACGAGAAGCUUGCUUCUCUGAUGUUAGCGGCGGACGGGUGAGUAACACGUGGAUAACCUACCUAUAAGACUGGGAUAACUUCGGGAAACCGGAGCUAAUACCGGAUAAUAUUUUAAACCGCAUGGUUCAAAAGUGAAAGACGGUCUUGCUGUCACUUAUAGAUGGAUCCGCGCUGCAUUAGCUAGUUGGUAAGGUAACGGCUUACCAAGGCAACGAUGCAUAGCCGACCUGAGAGGGUGAUCGGCCACACUGGAACUGAGACACGGUCCAGACUCCUACGGGAGGCAGCAGUAGGGAAUCUUCCGCAAUGGGCGAAAGCCUGACGGAGCAACGCCGCGUGAGUGAUGAAGGUCUUCGGAUCGUAAAACUCUGUUAUUAGGGAAGAACAUAUGUGUAAGUAACUGUGCACAUCUUGACGGUACCUAAUCAGAAAGCCACGGCUAACUACGU
RNAcentral lists this ribosomal RNA (496 nucleotides) under uncultured bacterium. RNAcentral describes it as "partial 16S ribosomal RNA". It matches the Rfam family "Bacterial small subunit ribosomal RNA", at positions 28 to 506 of the family's 1533-position model. The record is from RNAcentral.